This 439-nucleotide ribosomal RNA is filed under the name uncultured bacterium. Its description in RNAcentral is "partial 16S ribosomal RNA". It matches the Rfam family "Bacterial small subunit ribosomal RNA", at positions 338 to 795 of the family's 1533-position model. The record is from RNAcentral.
CCUACGGGUGCUUCAGUGGGGAAUAUUUCACAAUGGGGGAAACCCUGAUGCAGCGACGCCGCGUGAGUGAAGAAGUAAUUCGUUAUGUAUAGCUCUAUCAGCAGGGAAGAAAAUGACGCUACCGGAGUAAGAAGCCCAGGCUAACUACGUGCCAGCAGCGGCGGUAAUACGUAGGGGGCAAGCGUUAUCCGGAUUUACUGGGGGUAAAGGGGGCGUAGACGGCAGUGCAAGUCUGGAGUGAAAGGCGGGGGCUCAACCCCCGGACUGCUGUGGAAACUGUACGGCUGGAGUGCAGGAGAGGUAAGUGGGAUUCCUAGUGUAGCGGUGAAAUGCGUAGAUAUUAGGAGGAACCCCAGUGGCGAAGGCAGCUUACUGGACUGUAACUGACGUUGAGGCUCGAAAGCGUGGGGAGCGAACAGGAUUAGAUACCCCUGUAGUC